Molecule: ribosomal RNA, 803 nt
Filed under: uncultured Methylocystaceae bacterium
Lineage: Bacteria; Pseudomonadati; Pseudomonadota; Alphaproteobacteria; Hyphomicrobiales; Methylocystaceae
Description: bacterial SSU rRNA
Rfam family: Bacterial small subunit ribosomal RNA
Source: RNAcentral
CCACCUUCGGGUGGUGGAAAGUGGCAGACGGGUGAGUAACGCGUGGGAACGUGCCUUUCGGUUCGGAAUAACCCAGGGAAACUUGGGCUAAUACCGGAUACGCCCUUCGGGGGAAAGAUUCAUCGCCGAAAGAUCGGCCCGCGUCGGAUUAGCUAGUUGGUAGGGUAAUGGCCUACCAAGGCGACGAUCCGUAGCUGGUCUGAGAGGAUGACCAGCCACACUGGGACUGAGACACGGCCCAGACUCCUACGGGAGGCAGCAGUGGGGAAUAUUGGACAAUGGGCGAAAGCCUGAUCCAGCCAUGCCGCGUGGGUGAAGAAGGCCUUAGGGUUGUAAACCCCUUUCAGCGGGGAAGAUAAUGACGGUACCCGCAGAAGAAGCCCCGGCUAACUCCGUGCCAGCAGCCGCGGUAAUACGGAGGGGGCUAGCGUUGUUCGGAAUUACUGGGCGUAAAGCGCGCGUAGGCGGACCUGCAAGUCGGGGGUGAAAGCCCGAGGCUCAACCUCGGAACUGCCUUCGAUACUGCGGGUCUCGAGUCCGGGAGAGGUGAGUGGAAUUCCUAGUGUAGAGGUGAAAUUCGUAGAUAUUAGGAAGAACACCAGUGGCGAAGGCGGCUCACUGGCCCGGUACUGACGCUGAGGCGCGAAAGCGUGGGGAGCAGACAGGAUUAGAUACCCUGGUAGUCCACGCCGUAAACUAUGGGUGCUAGCCGUCGGUCGGCAUGCCGGUCGGUGGCGCAGCAAACGCAUUAAGCACCCCGCCUGGGGAGUACGGUCGCAAGAUUAAAACUCAAAGGAAUUGAC